Molecule: transfer RNA, 72 nt
Filed under: Camelus bactrianus (Bactrian camel)
Lineage: Eukaryota; Metazoa; Chordata; Mammalia; Artiodactyla; Camelidae
Also listed under: 2 other names
Rfam family: tRNA
About the family: Transfer RNA (tRNA) molecules are approximately 80 nucleotides in length. Their secondary structure includes four short double-helical elements and three loops (D, anti-codon, and T loops).
Source: Rfam by way of RNAcentral
GAAAGUAGAGCUCAGUGGUAGAGUAUGUGCUUAGUGUGCACGAGGUCCUGGGUUCAAUCCCCAGUACCUCCA